GACAGAGGGUGCGAACGUUGUUCGGAAUUACUGGGCGUAAAGCGCGUGUAGGCGGCAAUGCAAGUCGGGCGUGAAAUCCCACGGCUCAACCGUGGAAGUGCACUCGAAACUGCAUAGCUAGAGUCCUGGAGAGGAAGGUGGAAUGCUUGGUGUAGAGGUGAAAUUCGUAGAUAUCAAGCGGAACACCGGUGGCGAAGGCGGCCUGCUGGGCAGUUGCUGACACUGAGGCGCGAAAGCGUGGGGAGCAAACAGG
Molecule: ribosomal RNA, 253 nt
Filed under: uncultured bacterium
Lineage: Bacteria
Description: partial 16S ribosomal RNA
Rfam family: Bacterial small subunit ribosomal RNA
Source: RNAcentral